RNAcentral lists this transfer RNA (58 nucleotides) under Marmota marmota marmota (Alpine marmot). It matches the Rfam family "tRNA", at positions 8 to 63 of the family's 71-position model. Rfam says of the family: Transfer RNA (tRNA) molecules are approximately 80 nucleotides in length. Their secondary structure includes four short double-helical elements and three loops (D, anti-codon, and T loops). Further hydrogen bonds mediate the characteristic L-shaped molecular structure. tRNAs have two regions of fundamental functional importance: the anti-codon, which is responsible for specific mRNA codon recognition, and the 3' end, to which the tRNAs corresponding amino acid is attached (by aminoacyl-tRNA synthetases). tRNAs cope with the degeneracy of the genetic code in two manners: having more than one tRNA (with a specific anti-codon) for a particular amino acid; and 'wobble' base-pairing, i.e. permitting non-standard base-pairing at the 3rd anti-codon position. The record is from Rfam by way of RNAcentral. RNAcentral also lists the same sequence under 1 other name. Lineage: Eukaryota; Metazoa; Chordata; Mammalia; Rodentia; Sciuridae.
UAGCUCAGUUGGUAGAGUGUUUGCUUCAUGUGCAUAGGGCCCUGGGUUCAAUCCCCAG